UUUUUUCCCUAUAAACACAAAAGGCUAGAUAGCAUACCUUAAAUAUUGAAAUCGUCGUGAAAUUAAGCUAUGCUACCUUUUUUAAAAGUAGGGGAUCACCUAACAUUUUCGGAACAGAAAAUGUCCUAGAAACAUUUCCAAAAUAUGUGUAACGUAUAUAUGUGAAUUGUGAAAUACGUUUUAUUUUGGAUUUUUUUCUUUUUCUAGUCAACAAUAUGAAGAUUUCGCGGGUUAGGCCUGGGCCGCAUAUCCGAUAGAAUAGGCCCAUAACUAGGCUAUAAGGCCUAUAAGUAGGUUUAACCUCAAAACUAAUGAGACUUUCAUUUAGCCCUGACUUUUUUUUUAUCACGCAGAGGAAACUUAACAGUUGAACAACAAGCUUCCACCACAAAUGUCGCAGGAAGAUUUACUACAUUGUUCACUGUAUACAUUCUCAAUUGUCAAGUUAAGAAUCCACUAGGUUUUUUAGGACGCUGAAUUGCAAACGAACCAUUCUAUUAAAACAUACAUAAGCAUCUAGUUAAACUAAAACAGCAGAUUGCAGAACUGGAUAUAAAGAUGCCAAAAGCAAAGUUGAAUCAACUAAUGAAAUAGUUUGACAGAACUCAAGAUCCACAUAGUAAUAUAAUUUGAACCAGAGAGAAACAUCCUCAAAAACGUCGCUAGAACAUAAAAAACAAGAGAGAAAGCUGCUUGCAGGCUUCAGACACGGGGUGCAGCUGGAGCUCCAGGUCCAGCUGGACGAGGGGCCUGUCCUGGCUGUCCAGGCUUAGGAGCAUCAUCCUGACGAUCAUAAUGUGGAAAAUCAUUCAGUAAAAUCUUAGAAGAGCAAACCAUUUCAACAAAAAAAAAAAGAUAGAACAGAAUAGUCUCACCGACAGCAGUACCGUUAAGGAUUAAGUGAAGGAAAUAGUAGCAAGCUUAAUUGACCUCAAAAUUCAACUUCAUGAAAGUUAUUUUGAAACAACUUAGUAUAUAAAUCACAUGGCAACAAGAAUCUUAAGAUGAUCUAACCGCACAUCUACAAAACUUGGUUAUGCAAAAUUCAAACUACAUUUUUGUACAUGUCUUAGUAACCAGAUUUACUUCAAACUAAUCUUACGUAUUUAAGUGAGAUACUAGUAUUCAGAAACAAGUUGCAUCUUUCAUAUCUAAACACAAAUGAAGCAAGCAAGCUGAUUUAAAGAUUGAGAAAUGGGUCUUAAAUCGAUCAAGGGUCAUUGAGUUGAGAAAGAGAGAGGGAUUACCUUGCGUCUGACAAAACGGGGAGGAGGAGUACGAACCCUACGGUUGGUGCGGGAACGAACUCUAACGACAUGAGAGUGGAUAGCACAUGAGACACAGUAUUGUGUCUUUGCAUACAGCUUUGGCAAUGUGUAUCCUACGAUUACAUAAAAGUUGCAUAAAUCUCAGGACAUUUCAAUUCCAAUAGUCGAAAAAUCCAAACUUCAUAACAAAACAAAAAACAAAGAGAGAAAUGAAAUGAAUACCAUCGUAGACACUGGCUUCCUGAACAUCUCUGAUAGCAGCCUGUUCCACAAUGUUCCUCACGAUGAACCUCUUAAUGGCCUUGUCCUAUCCAAACCCACAAGAUCAAAAUCAAACUUUGCUUAUAUAAAUAACUGGAGAUGAUUGAGAAGCAGAGGUGGAGGAAGAGAGUACCUUGGGGCAACAUUUGCCACAGUUGGAGCAUCUGAUUGGGUUGACGUGACCUCUGUUGUGCUUGUUCCUUCCACCGUUCCUGCGCUUGAAAGUCUGCAACACAGCACAACAAUGAAGAAGCUCACAUCAAUUCACGAUCUUUGCUGUAAAUCAAAGAUGAGGAAAACAAAGAGAGAUCGAGAAGACGAUGAGUACCAUCUUUGGCUUUUCCUCUCUGUUCUGUGUGUGCGUCUGCUGCUGCCGGCUACUAGGGUUACUCUCUUCUCAUGGAACUCCUCGUCAAACUUCAGAUUUGAGGACCUCAUAUUUACUAUUACUUAUUGGGCCUUACAUUAUUAUGGGCUUUUAACAUAUACUGGGCUUAGGCAGUCCAAGGCUCCAAGCAAAAGUUGGUUUGGUUCAAGAUCGGUUAAGUUGGUUCGAUUCAACUAUUCAAUCAAACAUAGUCAUGUCAACUGUACUAAUUUUUUUUUCCUACAAAACUCACAGUAACCUUAUCAAAAUAGAAGAAGAUAUGGAUAGUAAAAUGGAUAGAGCAACAUAAGAAUAGAGUCAUAGACAUGAAUUUUGUAUACACUAAAUAUGGCAAUAUAUUAAUAUAUGCAGGAGGACUUAUUAUACAUUUAAACUCAUGUAAACAUGGAGGAGUGCUUUAACUGAUCUGGCACAUGCACACUGAUAAACCUAUUUGACUUAAGAGUACUUGUCAUCCAAUGCAAGUAAAGAAACCAACCAAACCUCUCCACCAAAUUUAAGUAGUUCGUUUAUUAGAUAAAUUGAAAUCAUCUUUGCUCUAGCCUCUAGAUCGCAGUCAUCUCACAUCUCUCACGACUAGUUUGUUUGAAUUGAAAGAACAAAGAGAGAGAAAGAGAUUUGACAUAUCACACAAUAGGAAUCAGGUCGAGAUAAGCUUCGAGACACUUGGAAUCAAGGACCCCUUUUCGUCUUCUGCGGUUGGCGAUGGAAAGCUUCCUGUAAUGAACGAAUGGUUCAAGAGCUCAGCAGCAGUGGGCCUGCGUGGAUGCAUGUCUUGGCACUGACUCAAGAAAUCUCUAGCCUCCGGAGAGAUAUCUCGACCACGCAACUUCCACUCGUAGAAUUCAUCAAAUAUCUCCUGGAUAGGUAUUGCUCCUAACAUCUCAUAAACCACACACCCCAGAGCAUAUAUAUCAAGUCCCGGCUCGAUGACCAGUCCGUUUGGCGCAAAAGACUCUGGUGGCAGAUACUUAGCCGUACCAAUGGACACGAAAUCAUAUUCGGAAUCAGGUUCCAUGGAUGAACCGAAAUCAGCAAGCUUGAGAUCCCACAGCUCUCCAGGAGUUGUGGAAGGGAAGACGAGAACGUUGGAUGGCUUGAGGUUGCAGUGAACGUAACCAUGGGAGUGAAGAGCAACGAGUCCUUCUAGGAUCAUACGAGCCGCACGUUGGACCAGGGUCUCUGGUAUCUUCCGUGACUGCCUGCGAAAACCGUGUAUAAGCUUAUGGAGAUUACCUUGGGAGGCGUACUCCAUAUAGAUCAUGUAGCAUUCGUAGGGUUUGGUUCGUAAGUGAAGAGUGUUUGAGGCAUCGACGAUGCGAGGAUGAUCUCGGAAACGAUGCAUAAUCCUAAGCUCCUUCUCGAGAAUAUUUUUGAGGUGCAUCGGCGAUGACUUCUUUGCGCAAAGUCUGGAUUCUGAGUCCUUCUCCAGAGUGACGCUACCGAACCUACCGUGACCAAGAGAAGAGACGGUCUUCGAUGAAGACUCGUCCACAAUACAAUCAUCAUCUCUGCAAAGUUGCUCCAUCAUCAGUUUACGUAUUCGAUACUCUUUAGGGUUUUGUAUGUGUGUUUUCUGAUCAGAUUAACUAAUUUAAAUAUAUGUGAUAGAUUAUUAUCACUACUAUUUAUAUAUAAAGUCUCUAUAGGUCGGUCAUCGGUGUGGUGGGUUCGAUUUUCCAUUAUUUAUAGGGGAACUAGGACAUGUUUUCCUUUUUCCAAUUAUGAGAUUAUAUACACGCCCAAGUUAACCUAUAUCAAAUUUCAUUAUUAUAUGGUUAAACACAUAUUGAUGACCCACUAUAUAUUUACUAGUGUUGUUAAUUUAAUUAUAUUUUCAAAAGUUCCCCUAAAUCUUUCGUAUUUGUCGAAAUCGUCUCUGAAUAACCAGAAUGACAAUAAUAAACCUUAUCGUUUCUUAAUUCUUAUUCGCUCCCCUCUGUUCCCAUCGUCUUGCUGCGCCGAUCUUGCUCUGCUCUUUCUUAUUCUCCUGUUCUUACAAACUAUUCUCUCUAAUAUCCCAAAUAUUUAUUUGUAAUUUUAUUCUCCAAAGGUAAAUAAUGGCAGCAAGCUCGGAAGAGCAGAGGACGACGACAAGAGAUAGUAUUUACAGAGCUGCCAGGAGUAUAAAGCGACGAGACAACAGUCUCUACAACGCUCUUCGAUCUAUCUACCAAGACUCCCUCUUCGUCCACGAGAUCUCUCAGUUAUGGCCUAUGCUCCCUCUUCUUGCGAACCUUCGUUGUGGCCUCUGGUACUCUCCCAGAUUCGACGCCACCUGCUACUUCAAAUCCACCGAUGGUCAUACCAAUAAUCUAUCUUUCAACACUUCUCGCCUCAAUCUCCAUCUUCCUCUUCUCGCUGGUAUCAUCAAUUUCAUCUUCUCUGUUUCAAAAACUUCUCUUAGAUCAUGUUUCUUUGAGAAGUAGCUUUGUUCUGUAUAAAAAGCAUUUAUCUUUAUGCAUUGUGCAUUGUUGUGUACUUGUGUUGUGUGAUUGCCAAUUGAAAAGGAUAAACUUUUUCCAAUGGAUAGGAGAAAAAGGAGGAUGUAUCAUUAUUGAUUCCACUCGGAAAGGAAAGCGAUUUCCGGAUAGUAUGUCGAAAACGAUUCCUAUAUGGUCAUGUGUCUUGAAUCGUUCAAUUUUUAAUCAUUUGAAGAGAUUAUGUAACACUGAUGCAGUGAGUUACAAUUGUUCAUUUUGUCUGCAUUAGUCGAGGUUAUAACUUCUCCUUCUUAGUAUUUACAAUACUGUGUUCAUUGUUUUUGGAAUAGGGAUUGCCUAGUGAUGAUGAUCUUGAUGGUGAUAAGAUAAGGCAGGUGUUAGAUAAAUGGGAUUGUUCGUUACAUCUACCACUUUGGGUUUCAAAUACAGAGAGGGCCUCUAUUGAAGCUCGAUUGGAUGAGUGGACUAGAGAAUUAGAUGAGAGUGGAGCUGAUAUAGCUUCUCUAGCUUCAUGUUUGAGAAAGCCUUUAAGGCCUCUUUGGGUUUCACAGAAAACAGUUAUAUGGUUGAAUGCAGUACCUGAGCCUGAUUCAUGGGAUUUCACCCCUCUCAUCCUUGUCUCAGCGUCUGUUUCUGGUGAACUCCAACACAGAACCAAUUCAGAGUUUAGUUGGAAUUAUAUUCCAGGAGCUGGUGAUGAUGAAGAGAGUUGGGCUAGAGGUUUAUCUCCAAAUGUUUUCUGGACACAUGUUGACGAUCUGAUUCACUGGGGGCCUGAUUUGUGUAACCAGAAAGUGGCAGAGAUUGUUGAAAACGAUAGAGUGUAUCGAGCGCAGAGAGGUCAGGAAGCUCCACAGGUCGUUGUUAAGUGCUCAAAAUCUAAUGGUAAAGUCAAUCACGCUAAGAGUGAUGAAAUUAUGUCUCUUAGUACAUCAAAACCUAAAAUUGGGAUGAUGAUAGUUGAUGAAGACAACUUAGUAUCUUGGUUGGCAUCAACGAAUCUUGCUGUUGGGGCCUCACUAGUAGGUGAGCUUAGUUUCUUACUACAAAUAUUGUCUCUUCCUUUGCAUUAAAUAAGCUUUCAGCUUCUCAUCAAAUCUUCGUAUCCUUUUGUGUUGCAGCUGGUAAGGUCACAUCUAUUGACUGUAUAUUAAAUUGUGAUCAAAAUCCCAUCUCUGUCCCUCUAUCCUACCUUGAAGAGCAUUUGCAUCUACCCAUGAAGGUAUGCCAAACUCUUGCAUGAUACACAGUUGUUUCCUCGAUCAAAUAUUCAUUAGAAUUGUAUGUUCUCCAGGGUUCAAAAUAUGAUAGAUUUUCCAUAUCAAGAGAGCUUGGUUCCGCAGUUAAUUUUGCUAAGCUCAAGAUGAGUUCAGGGAAGAAGCUCUUAGUUUGUUGUCAAGAUGGUAAGUUUAUAUCUGCAUUCAAGCAUAAUUUGUGGCUUGUAUCUUUUAUGGAAGUCUAAUCCAUACUGUAAUUAUGAUUGACAGGGGAAGAUAUCAGUGUAUGUGUUUGUUUGGCCAUCUUGAUGUCAUUAUUCAACCAAGAAGGUACUUCAUCUUGUAAAUUAUCCGGUUUUUGGUUCAACAAUGUAUGAAAUGUACCAUCAUAAUGCUGAGACAUUUGAAUCAUUUGCAGGGGCCUUUGAUGGUGGAAAAAGUUUUGAAGAGAAGAGUAUAACAAAAAUGGAAAUGCGACGGGUGCUAAUAUUUAUAUGCAAAUACGCCGUGAAUGCUCGACCAUCUAGGGGAAACCUUAGGCAAGUUUUUGGCUUUCUCUCGUCUCAGCUCGAAAAUUCCGACCAGUGAAGUAGAAUAAGCCUCCAUGUAUCCCUCAAAGCUUUUAGUUGUUAUUCCUGCACUAGUAUUUACGAUUAUGUUGCUGUAGAAGCUUCAGAAAUAAACUCUACCUUCAUAAUGAUAGGCAUAAAUCAUUAAUUUUUUUGUUUAGUUUACACUUUCAAUAACUAAAAUAUAUAUAGAUUGAACAACAUUUAUCUAUCCCAUCAUUAAUCAUUAAUUGCACAGUAAUUUAUUAAUAUUUUAACAAAAAAUAUAAUGAUAAUAUCAUUAUGAUAUAUAUAUCACAUUUCACAUUUGUAUGCUUUAUAUAAUAAGAAUAUUCAAAAGCAACCCAAAAAAAUCUAUAAAAGGGAGAGUUCUAAAAAUAUAUUAACUUCAUCUUCAUUAGAUAUGUUAAUUUUUUGCAUUUUAAUAAAUAAGUAAUUUAUAUCAUUAAGCACCACAAAGUAAAUUACCAAAAUAUUAUAAAAUAAUAAAUACAUACUAAAUUUUACAUUAUAUAUUUAUAUGUUUUGUAUUAUAUAGUAAAAGUUUUAACUCCAAUCUAAAAACUAGAGGUCUAACAAAAAAAAAUAGUGAUUAAAUUUUGCUAACCAGAAGAACUCUUCAUUGGAGACUUGUCUGUGUUCUUGGCAACCUAGUGUCAUUAUGGAGCAGAUUAUGGGAGAUCUAAAGGAGUCUUCAAUGGAGACUGUCUGUGUUCUUGGCAAAUGUGCCUACGGCUUUGUGUCUCUCCAGAAGGAUUCGAACUUGGAGAAAUCAUACGUCAAAAAGACAAGUAUUCUCAAACAGUCCAAGAAUAUCGAGAAGGAACUCAGGAUCAUGCUUCGUUUCCACAACAAUCCCUUCAUCGUCCAAGCUUCAAGUGAUCAACUUCACUUUGUGACCGACACCAAAGGCAUGAGUUUAUGUUACAUCUACAUGGAGUAUGCUUCCUUAGGUAAUCUCGACAAAAUGAUCUAUGAUGCCGGAGGGAGAUUGCCUGAAGAUUGUGUCAGACGUGCCACUCGUAUAAUCCUACAAGGACUCAAGGCUCUUCACUCUGAAGGUUACGUCCACUGCGACCUCAAUCCGACCAAUGUACUUGUAUUCCCUUCCAACACUUCUGGUGAACCAUGGGAUCUCAAGCUUGCUGGUUUCCGUUUAUCCAAAGAACCGACUAUGGACUCUAGCCUGUUGUUUCCCGGAACCCUUGAGGAGUACAUGCUGCCUGAGGCCAUUGAGCCGGACAGGUUUGUUGGGACGGAAAAACUGAUCAGACCAGCCCGUGACAUAUGGUCUCUAGGGCGUAUGGUUCUAAAGAUGUUUGGGGGUAUUCCUGUGGAGGUGAGAGGUCCUAACACGUGGAGGCUGUACGAAGAUAUCUCCCCGGAGGCCACAGAUUUUGUGAGGCGGUGCUUGGCGUGGAACCCUUCGGAUAGGGCAACCGUGGAUGAACUCUUAGACCAUCCUUUUGCUGCUGAAAAAUUUCCAUUGUUUCUUUCUUUCUUAAGGGUUCCUUCCAUCAUAAGGAAGAUUGCCAGGGAUAAAUUGAAUGGAAGACGUGAGGAACUGAUACCAAAACCUCAAGGGUUAAUCUGGUAAGAACGAAAAUGAAACUGAUACGCAUGAGGCUCACUCCAUUUCUGUCCCAUCUCAGUUUCCUCUCACCCAUAAGUCAAAACUCUUAAAUCUGAAUGGGGUGGAGUCGCAACCUCAAAACUUAAGUAGAUUGUAAAACUGAAGUCUUAUAUAUGAUAAUAACAAAGUCGAGACAAUUAUUUAAAAAAGCAUUUGAAAAUUCACAUGGCAAUAUAAUCUGAAGGCAACAUAAGAAAAACAAAAGUUUUGAAAAAUGGAACUAUAAUUUAAGCUGCUUGCAGGCUUCAGACACGGGGUGCAGCUGGAGCUCCAGGUCCAGCUGGACGAGGGGCCUGUCCUGGUUGUCCAGGCUUGGGAGCAUCAUCCUGAUGAGAUUAUAAUGUGGAAAACCAUUCAGUAAAAUCUCAGAAGAGCAAAUCAUUCAAACAAACAAAAAAAGAUAGAACAGAAUAGUCUCAUCGACAGCAGUAUUGUUAAGGAUUAAGUGAAGGAAAUAGUAGCAUCUAUUUUGAAAGUUAUUUUGAAACAACUAGUAUAUAAAUCAUAUGGCAACAAGAAUCUUAAGAUGAUCUAACCGCAUAUCUACAAAACUUGGUUAUGCAAAAUUCAAACUACACUUUUGUGCAUGUCUUAGUAACCAGAUUUACUUCAAACUAACCUUACGUAUUUAAGAGAGAUACUAGUAUUCAGAAACAAGUUGCAUCUUUCAUAUCUAAACACAAAUGAAGCAAACAAGCUCGUCUAAAGAUUGAGAAAUAGGGAUUAAAUCAAUAAAGGAUCAUUGAGUUGAGAAAGAGAGAGGGAUUACCUUGCGUCUGACAAAACGGGGAGGAGGAGUACGAACCCUACGGUUGGUGCGGGAACGAACUCUAACGACAUGAGAGUGGAUAGCACAUGAGACACAGUAUUGCGUCUUU
This 8658-nucleotide long non-coding RNA is filed under the name Capsella rubella. RNAcentral describes it as "long non-coding RNA (CRUB_LNC003382)". The record is from RNAcentral. Lineage: Eukaryota; Viridiplantae; Streptophyta; Magnoliopsida; Brassicales; Brassicaceae.